GGAAGAUCCAUCUUCAUUGCUUCACAUUGAAAUUGGAAGUUUCUUCACCUCCGCCGUCGUCAUCAUCAACUCUGUAGCUUCCGCCGUUCCGGUGAUUGAGAUCCGUCAGUCGAGAUGGGAGUGGGCUUCGUGGUCGGUGUCUUCGGAGUUCUAAUUCUGGCUCAUGCUGCUUAUUCCACCAUCCAAUAUAGGAGCUUACUGAAGAUCAUGCAGGAAGAGUUUUCAGGCCCUCCGUUUCAUGUGGCAAUCGAGUUGAUUCUAGGGUUAGUAUUGUCCGUGUGGGCUGCACUCACCGUACCAGGGAAGUUUCACUCGAUUAAUCCAGAAGCCGAGGAGAAUAGGAUAGUUUCUCUUCCUGCCAAUCAAGAUUUUAUGGUCUUCAACCACCGAGGCAGAUUAUUUCCCAAGCAAACAGAUUUGAAGCUGAAACAUUGAGAUGUCAGUCAUGACUAAAGCAGGCCUUGAGGCUUCCAAGCUGGAAGCAGAAAUGGACGUUAAAAGUGCAUAAAGGAGAUUUUGCUGCG
This 524-nucleotide unclassified non-coding RNA is filed under the name Hevea brasiliensis (rubber tree). The record is from RNAcentral. Lineage: Eukaryota; Viridiplantae; Streptophyta; Magnoliopsida; Malpighiales; Euphorbiaceae.